CGAACGCUGGCGGCGCGCCUAACACAUGCAAGUCGAACGAGCGAGAGAGAGCUUGCUUUCUCGAGCGAGUGGCGAACGGGUGAGUAACGCGUGAGGAACCUGCCUCAAAGAGGGGGACAACAGUUGGAAACGACUGCUAAUACCGCAUAAGCCCACGGCUCGGCAUCGAGCAGAGGGAAAAGGAGCAAUCCGCUUUGAGAUGGCCUCGCGUCCGAUUAGCUAGUUGGUGAGGUAACGGCCCACCAAGGCAACGAUCGGUAGCCGGACUGAGAGGUUGAACGGCCACAUUGGGACUGAGACACGGCCCAGACUCCUACGGGAGGCAGCAGUGGGGAAUAUUGCACAAUGGGGGAAACCCUGAUGCAGCGACGCCGCGUGGAGGAAGAAGGUCUUCGGAUUGUAAACUCCUGUUGUUGGGGAAGAUAAUGACGGUACCCAACAAGGAAGUGACGGCUAACUACGUGCCAGCAGCCGCGGUAAAACGUAGGUCACAAGCGUUGUCCGGAAUUACUGGGUGUAAAGGGAGCGCAGGCGGGAAGACAAGUUGGAAGUGAAAUCUAUGGGCUCAACCCUUAAACUGCUUUCAAAACUGUUUUUCUUGAGUAGUGCAGAGGUAGGCGGAAUUCCCGGUGUAGCGGUGGAAUGCGUAGAUAUCGGGAGGAACACCAGUGGCGAAGGCGGCCUACUGGGCACCAACUGACGCUGAGGC
This 709-nucleotide ribosomal RNA is filed under the name uncultured Lachnospiraceae bacterium. RNAcentral's name for it is "bacterial SSU rRNA". It matches the Rfam family "Bacterial small subunit ribosomal RNA", at positions 30 to 752 of the family's 1533-position model. The record is from RNAcentral. Lineage: Bacteria; Bacillati; Bacillota; Clostridia; Lachnospirales; Lachnospiraceae.